Molecule: unclassified non-coding RNA, 252 nt
Filed under: Pseudomonas syringae pv. actinidiae
Lineage: Bacteria; Pseudomonadati; Pseudomonadota; Gammaproteobacteria; Pseudomonadales; Pseudomonadaceae
Description: partial 16S-23S ribosomal RNA intergenic spacer
Source: RNAcentral
CACUCUACUAGCUGGUAGAGCGCCCCCUGAUAUGGUGAGGUCGGCAAUUCAAAUCUGCACCUACCCACCAGUUACCUGGUGAACUCCCACCUGAGCUAUGGCACCGUAUCAUACGUGUCGUACGCGCUCUGACCAACUUCACCUGGCUUGUGGUGGGUCUGGACCGAUUCGAUCUGCCUUGCUCACCCUUAUUACGGCUGCUGUCUAAAAACUUAAAAUAGAGAAUUCCAUCCUGAUGGGAAAAUGCAAAAA